Molecule: transfer RNA, 72 nt
Filed under: Ornithorhynchus anatinus (platypus)
Lineage: Eukaryota; Metazoa; Chordata; Mammalia; Monotremata; Ornithorhynchidae
Rfam family: tRNA
About the family: Transfer RNA (tRNA) molecules are approximately 80 nucleotides in length. Their secondary structure includes four short double-helical elements and three loops (D, anti-codon, and T loops). Further hydrogen bonds mediate the characteristic L-shaped molecular structure. tRNAs have two regions of fundamental functional importance: the anti-codon, which is responsible for specific mRNA codon recognition, and the 3' end, to which the tRNAs corresponding amino acid is attached (by aminoacyl-tRNA synthetases). tRNAs cope with the degeneracy of the genetic code in two manners: having more than one tRNA (with a specific anti-codon) for a particular amino acid; and 'wobble' base-pairing, i.e. permitting non-standard base-pairing at the 3rd anti-codon position.
Source: Rfam by way of RNAcentral
AGCAGUGUGGCUCAGUGGAAAGAGCACGGGCUUGGGAGUCAGAGGUCAUGGGUUCGAAUCCCGGUUCUGCCA